GACGAACGCUGGCGGCGUGCUUAACACAUGCAAGUCGAACGGAAAGGCCCUGCUUUUGUGGGGUGCUCGAGUGGCGAACGGGUGAGUAACAGGUGAGUAACCUGCCCUUGACUUUGGGAUAACUUCAGGAAACUGGGGCUAAUACCGGAUAGGAGCUCCUGCUGCAUGGUGGGGGUUGGAAAGUUUCGGCGGUUGGGGAUGGACUCGCGGCUUAUCAGCUUGUUGGUGGGGUAGUGGCUUACCAAGGCUUUGACGGGUAGCCGGCCUGAGAGGGUGACCGGCCACAUUGGGACUGAGAUACGGCCCAGACUCCUACGGGAGGCAGCAGUGGAGAAUAUUGCACAAUGGGCGGAAGCCUGAUGCAGCAACGCCGCGUGCGGGAUGACGGCCUUCGGGUUGUAAACCGCUUUCGCCUGUGACGAAGCGUGAGUGACGGUAAUGGGUAAAGAAGCACCGGCUAACUACGUG
RNAcentral lists this ribosomal RNA (468 nucleotides) under uncultured bacterium. RNAcentral describes it as "partial 16S ribosomal RNA". It matches the Rfam family "Bacterial small subunit ribosomal RNA", at positions 28 to 507 of the family's 1533-position model. The record is from RNAcentral.